This 791-nucleotide ribosomal RNA is filed under the name uncultured bacterium. RNAcentral's name for it is "bacterial SSU rRNA". It matches the Rfam family "Bacterial small subunit ribosomal RNA", at positions 8 to 796 of the family's 1533-position model. The record is from RNAcentral.
AGAGUUUGAUCAUGGCUCAGAUUGAACGCUGGCGGCAUGCCUUACACAUGCAAGUCGAACGGUAACGCGGGGCAACCUGGCGACGAGUGGCGAACGGGUGAGUAAUAUAUCGGAACGUGCCCAGUAGUGGGGGGAUAGCCCGGCGAAAGCCGGAUUAAUACCGCAUACGACCUACGGGUGAAAGCGGGGGAUCGCAAGACCUCGCGCUAUUGGAGCGGCCGAUAUCAGAUUAGGUAGUUGGUGGGGUAAAAGCCUACCAAGCCGACGAUCUGUAGCUGGUCUGAGAGGACGACCAGCCACACUGGGACUGAGACACGGCCCAGACUCCUACGGGAGGCAGCAGUGGGGAAUUUUGGACAAUGGGCGCAAGCCUGAUCCAGCCAUGCCGCGUGCGGGAAGAAGGCCUUCGGGUUGUAAACCGCUUUUGUCAGGGAAGAAAUCUUCUGAGUUAAUACCUCGGGAGGAUGACGGUACCUGAAGAAUAAGCACCGGCUAACUACGUGCCAGCAGCCGCGGUAAUACGUAGGGUGCGAGCGUUAAUCGGAAUUACUGGGCGUAAAGCGUGCGCAGGCGGUCUUGCAAGACAGGUGUGAAAUCCCCGGGCUUAACCUGGGAACUGCACUUGUGACUGCAAGGCUGGAGUACGGCAGAGGGGGAUGGAAUUCCGCGUGUAGCAGUGAAAUGCGUAGAUAUGCGGAGGAACACCGAUGGCGAAGGCAAUCCCUGGGCCUGUACUGACGCUCAUGCACGAAAGCGUGGGGAGCAAACAGGAUUAGAUACCCUAGUAGUCC